GGAUUCCCCUAGUAACUGCGAGUGAAGCGGGAAAAGCUCAAAUUUAAAAUCUGGCAGUGUUUAACUGUCCGAAUUGUAGUCUGGAGAAGUGCUUUCUGCGCUGGACCAUGUAUAAGUCUCUUGGAACAGAGCGUCAUAGAGGGUGAGAAUCCCGUCUUUAACAUGGACUACCAGUGCUUUAUGAUGCGCUCUCAAAGAGUCGAGUUGUUUGGGAAUGCAGCUCAAAAUGGGUGGUGAAUUCCAUCUAAAGCUAAAUACAGGCGAGAGACCGAUAGCGAACAAGUACCGUGAGGGAAAGAUGAAAAGCACUUUGGAAAGAGAGUUAAACAGUACGUGAAAUUGCUGAAAGGGAAACGUUUGAAGUCAGUCGCGUUGUUUAGAACUCAGCCUUGCAUUUGCUUGGUGCAUUUUCUAAUUAACGGGUCAGCAUCAAUUUUGAUUAUCAGAAAAGGGCCGGGGUAAUGUGGCACCUCCGGGUGUGUUAUAGACCUUAGUCAAAUGUGAUAGUCGGGAUUGAGGAACGCAGCACGNCCCGCWMGGGGCAGGGGUUUAUNCCCACUUACGUGCNUUAGGAUGUUGACAUAAUGGCUUUAACCGANCCCGUCUUGAAACACGGACCAAGGAGUCUAACAUGGGUGCAAGUGUUUGGGUGGAAAACCCGAGCGCGCAAUGAAAGUGAAAGUUGAGACCUCUGUCACGGAGGGCAUCGACGCCCGGACCUGACGUUCUCUGAAGGAUCCGCGGUAGAGCAUGUAUGUUGGGACCCGAAAGAUGGUGAACUAUGCCUGAAUAGGGUGAAGCCAGAGGAAACUCUGGUGGAGGCUCGUAGCGAUUCUGACGUGCAAAUCGAUCGUCAAAUUUGGGUAUAGGGGCGAAAG
Molecule: ribosomal RNA, 878 nt
Filed under: Polyporaceae sp.
Lineage: Eukaryota; Fungi; Basidiomycota; Agaricomycetes; Polyporales; Polyporaceae
Description: LSU rRNA
Rfam family: Eukaryotic large subunit ribosomal RNA
Source: RNAcentral